CAUUGUCAGAGGCACAACUCUUUCAUUUGGUGCAAAUCUCUUUGAUAGGAACAAAGGAUAUAUUUUUAGGAAACACAUGUCUUUAACUUGAACUUCUGCAAGGGCUGGUGUUUUGUGAAUGCCUGUUCUCAUUAUUCCUUUAAUAAUGUCACCUCUUCACAAUCAGGAAUGUUUCACUGCUGUUGGUGCUGCAAACAGUCUCUUCCCAAACCAAAAAUUCACUCCCUCCCUUUGCCACCUUAAUUGCUUUAACAGCCCAGCUGUCUCUAAUAGGGACAAAUGGUCAAUUUACUUGGGCAGAUGGCAAGCAAGCUUGCUGGAGGGUUUGAGGUCAUGAAGACUGGCUUUCUUAAAGGCUGUAAAUACCCAUGCUGGAUGGUAUUUCCAGGCUGUUGAAGGCCUUGGAGUCUCAUCCUGAGGCUAUACCUGCCCAGCAGAGUGAGCCCAUUUCUACAUAGAGCUCUUUCAUCUAAUUCUGUUGAAAAUGUGAGAUAGUUUCAAUUUGCUGUAAAUGAAGAUGGAUGUGAAAACCCAUUCGCCUCAAUAAUGCCAGAACUGCCAGCCCAUGACUGCUGAGAAGAAAUGAAUCUAUUCUGCUGAAACUUCUCAGUGAAUUCAGAUGUUUACUGGACACCAAAUCACUGCAGGAUGACAAUGCUAAAAGACAGAAAUGCAUUUUUUCAGGCACUGGUUUUCAAAGCUUUUCAAGGUAGACAGCAAAACCCAGUUCUAAUCCUUUUCAAAACUGAAGCCAGAGGAAUGCCCUCCAUCCCAGACUUCUAUGCCCAACAGUAUGCCGUACUCUGAAGGAGAAGCAUUGAUGGGCUACCUGUGUGGCAGAGCCUAAGCCUGAGCCUGUGCCUGGACCUGGAGAAGUUAAUGAAGAAAGAGUAAAUGUAGAAAAAACCUGUCCAGUGGUUUCUAUACUUAAAAUUGUUCCUCAUAUUUUGAUAAACUUGCACUUGUAAAUGGAAAUUGCUGCAGAGGGGAGUAGAAAUGAUGGAGGGGACUGGAAGUCUGUCAAGCAUGACUAAGGUCACAGAGAGAGCUCUGAAGAGAAAGAGGGAGAAGAGCUGAUUUUGGAGGUGCCCAAAUAUGAGAGAUUAGAAGGGGCCAAGCCAUAAGAAGUAGAAGUAGAACUGGGCUGGAGGUGCUGAGACCAGCCUGGGAGGAGAAACCCAGGUUACAUAAAACCCCAGGUACAUAACCCACAGUUAUGCACACAGGAUGAAAUGGUGCAGGUGCGCAGUGCUGCAGAGAUGAAGAAUUAGAGAUCACAGGUGUAAGCUCUGAGAGAAGGGGGAGGAUAGGCUGUAUUUAUCUCCAGCACUUGCAGACACAUAAAUAAUUACAUGUUUAGGAGGGUGUAGAACUAAGGAAAGAAGGGUGGGAGGUGGCUGCCAUGCACAGUCAGAUGGCAAUCAGCCUCUCUUCUGGCAGACCUCAGAGGGGAGCACAGAAAGCACAGUGAGCCACUUGAUAGGCACUGCUGCUAAUAAAGUAUUGUUAUAAAUACUUUCCUUUUCUUUGGGCCCAGUGAAGGGAAGAAAAUACCCCCUUAUCACAACCCCAGUGAGUGAGGAACAAUCAGCUCCAGAACCGUGUGCUCUGUGUCUGUUUUUGGGGCACCUUGGGGCUGUGCAGGGCUGCUGCUCCUCCAAGGCUGGCUCUGCUCAGCCUCCCUACUUCUGACCCAGUCAAAUUCCUUCAAAAAUGCUGCUGCUCUCUGUCAUGGCAGUGGUCACAGUGCAUCCUAUAAAGCUUUUCACUUCCACACAUUUUUAUGAGGCUGAAGAUUAGCAGCUAGCUGCAUUUUGCAGAUGGUGAGCGUGAGAGGCUCUUGAUCCAGAGCUUGUUCUCUGUUUAUAAGUAUUGCAGACCAUGUUGGAUGGGAAAUAUCUUCACUUUUGCCUCAUUAGGGGUGCUCAGCAGAUGGGCCUCUAACAUCCAGUGGGGUAUUAAAGCAAUGUAUGGGACUUUGCUGCCUGAUUUGACUGAAAAUAGACAAUGGGGGAAGAGCUGGGAAGGGCAUCCAAGUGCUUGGGCUGUCAGUCUGGAGACCAGCUUGCUGGCUGGCUCCUCCUGCCCCAGCAAUGAUCCCCUGGGGCAGGGGUAUUACUGGAGCCAUGCUGUUUAUGUUGAGCUCACUCGCUGCCAGAUUACAUCACUUUGCUGUAAAAUAGCUCUGCCAGCAGAAGAAUCAGGAGUGAGGACAUGAGCAAUUUGCUAGGCUUAGAGCUGGAGCACUCAGAUUGCUGCUGGCUUAAAUGAUGCUUUGGGAAAAAUAAUAAAUCCCCCUCAUGUCCUUAGUAAUGUUGCGUAAAAGAUGAGUUGAGAUGGGCAUUGCUUCCCUCUCACCUGAGCAAAGGUGUGUGUGCUGUUGGACCAGUCAGUUUUACUUAGACAAGUUUAAUGCUGAUAAUGAGCCAAAAAUAACCCAGCAGACUAAAGAAAACUAAUCCAAAUGCUGGGUUUUGAUUCAAAAUAACAUCGAGACGGAGCCGUCUGAAACACAUCAUUUUCUGAUUAAAUUAAGUGACUAAUUCCAAUAUUCAUAUUAAAAUGGCCAUUUCCAGUGCUCAUCCUCAAAUUCAUUUUGAAGCAGCCCAGGCUCAGAUUGAUGCAGUAGUUAAUAGGAGUGAAUUUCAUGGCUCUCCACUGAGACUAGUCCAGGGUCCUCCCUGAACACUUAGAGCUUGUGAAAUACAAGAACUUGCAGGCUUGGAAGGAAAGAAUCUCCCACAAGCUGCGUUGUGGAUUCCUGCUGUGUUGUUUGGAGACAUGACCAUCACCAAGGGGAAUUGAUGUAACGUCCCAGCUAAGGAAGAACAGACUCAUGUCUCCUUCUGCCUUUCCUGACACCGUCACUUCCAACUCAGCUGUUUGGUACAGGGCAUAAAUUAGGGUAGGACUUGGCACAGGACUUUCAUUCACUCAUGUUUUAAAAUUUCUGCCUCAGAAGUUAUUCUUGGAGAAGAAUCAUGACUAUCUGUCAAAUACAUUUGCAGAGCAGCUCCACUGAAGACAAUGAAGCUACACCAGAAUUUAUCAUGGCAUAUAAACCAAGGUUAUCAACCACAUAAUUAAUCAAUUUCUUUCAAACUUGUGUGGCUGAGUCCCUUGCUCAGCUUUAAAAAUCCCAUUCCAUAUAUUUUGGAACUUUUUUUUUUGUGUGUGUGUGUCACAUUUUGCAUCUUGCUUGAGAUCUUUGUUUGGAUUUAGUAACAUAUAAAUGCUCUAGCUAAAUUUACAAUCUGUCUGAAUACAUAUCUUAAUGGAUUUGGUAUCGUUCCAGCUAAGACAAGCUGAGUUUUUUGGGGAAGAAAGGAAGCAGGGUUUUAUUUGAAAAACAACCCCCUUCCCAAAAAAAGCUACAGAGUUCAAAGUUAUUCUAAGAAAAAUAACAGUUUUCCACAGUGAAAUAACUGUAUGAUGACUCUUUUAUGCCAUGAGAAUUUUCAGCUAUAAAAAUGGUCUGAAAGUAGUCCCAUUAUUUAACUUAUCAACAAGUCCAUUCCUGGUGCCACGAUGAUGUGUCAUCAGUAAACCACACUUGGCAGGAGACACCAGAAUGGUUAAAACCAAAGGUUCUAAUGAUCAAAAGGCACUUUCAGAAAUUAAGCAUUUCACUAUUCUUAAAAUACAUAUUUUUGUUAGAGAGUUCAUUCCCCAUUCACCUUCUCAGAGGCCUUUUAGGUAUUGGAAUUUCAGCCCCCCUGGAAGAUGGGGUGGGUUCCAGCCUGCAGGAUGGCAGUGGUGCUGGAUUCUGGCAGGUGAUGCUCUGCCUCCUUAAACAGCUCCAUGCCCACUUUCAGGAAAUAAUGGUUUCUUUUAAAGGCAAAACCAUGAGAAUUUAAUUUACCUCUGGGAAUGCAGGUCCUCUGGGGGUGUCUGUGUGGGGGGGAAAGUGUGAACUUAUAAAUGCAGAGUCCUUUUCUGAUCCAUCAGGGAUGCAAGCAUGCACUCAUUGCCUCGCUCUGCACCCGUGGGCCUGAGUUUGACUCAGCUCUGAUGGGAUCUCUGGCAAUUCUGUGAUGUGGGGAUGUGAGGGCUGGUGAGACAUCGACAGCAGGACUUCUCUGCCUCCUCUCUUGGUUUGCUCACCAUGGCCACUUCUGAUGUUUGGACCUGCUGCAGCAAACUAGACUUUUCCUGCAGUAAAUCUAAUGGAGCAAAGCAAGAUCAGUGAGAAAAAUAUGGGAAAACUCAAUGAAGUAUAAAAAUGUGUAGUUUUACACUGCCUUGCUGUUUCAAACUCUGUUUUAGCCACUUUUAAGUCACUGUCUUAAGUUGUUCAGAAAAAUUCCUGUUUAUGAUAAUUUUUCUUUAACAGCACAGGGAGGUCCUCCAGUGACUGCCAAUGUGUCACUUCCAGGGGGAAGGCAAAGGCACACUUUCCUGUAGCCUGCACCAGCUCCUUGGUUUCAGCAGAUUCCUGUGUGCCAAAAGGGUUCAAAAUUGAUUUUACUCCAUCAGAGCUGAGCCUGAAAUAUGGUGUAGCCAACAUGAAUGACACUCCUGAAGGAAAAAGUAAUUUUGGAUAUUUUGGAGAUGCCUUGAACUGCUCCUAGGAUGGUGUGGAGGACCAGAAAGAGUGGCCAUAAACCCACGGCCAGUGCUGAGAAGCCAAGAGAUGAGUAGGAAGAACUGGAAGAAAGGGGAGAGAGGUGAAGUUGUUGCCUUCUUAGUGCACAUGUCCUACUCCACUUUCCCAGGGACUGGGAGAGGGGGCAUGGUCUCAAGCACCAAGGAGAUGAAGAAAUGCUUCCAACAAAGUUUAAAGAGAGUUUUCUGUGAGACCUUGGCCAGGGUAGGGAGUGGUCAGCAGGGCCCAGCUGCUCUGUGAGAGCACCCUGGCUGCCAGCAGCAACCUGGCCACAAAUCCCAGCCCUGCCCGGGGGGAUGCUGCUCCUAAGGAACUCCAGGAACCAAUCUGACUCCUCUUGGGGUUAGGACUUGAUAGUUCUGAGGGCUGGAGUUCCAACAUCUUCCCUUCUGCUGCUCUGGCUGGGAGCAAAAGACGUUUUGUUUGACGUGGUAUGUUCUGGCAACCUGGAAAAGCUUUGCAAUGUGAUUACAAUCCAGCUAGAGCAGGAUAUUCAGGAAGAUCUUGAAAGAUCCGUGUCCUGUGCCAGUGUCCUGUGCCAUUUCCAUCUUUCUUUGACAAUGGAGCUUAGGUGAACACCAGAAGUCUGCACCAGCCCUAUUGAUUGAUGACUGAGGAUUGAAUCAGUUGAUGGAUGCAGGCCUGUGUCCCAGGAAGAUGAGGAAUUAAGGCAACAAAAUACAUUGAAAACUGACUCAUGGAUUUUUAAUGAUCCUCUUUUUUUUUAUGACUCUGAUGACAUGAGCCUUGAUAAAUGUUACAUCUUUUAAACACGGUGCACAACAUAAUAUUCAGGGGAACCCAUCUUUUUCAAAAUCAGCUAUUAUUCUCAUAGCUAUGCCUCUCUUUUUUUUUUACCCUCCCUUUUUUCUCUGUGUUGUAAAGACACUUGUUCCUGUUAUUUGCUAGCCACCUGGAACCUUGAACUUUUGUUUGUACCAGGAAUUUAAUUUUUUUUUUAAAGAGCAAACAGCUUUGCCUUUACACCUGGAGAAUUAAGAGACACAGCAGGAGGAGCAGAGAAACUCUUUAGGAGGUAUUUCCACAGUAGGGUUUGCAAUGCUGCAGGAUGAUAAAAGAGAAUGAUAGAAACACUGUGAUCAACAACUGAAGUGAAAUGGAAGGCAAACACUGCGGACCACAUCUUUCUCACAGUAAAAAUAAAUGUGUUGCAAAGUGUAGAAAUGAUUAGAUGAAAAGAAAAGCUCAGUCUGAGCAAAGGUUUCCUAACGUGCUGCUGCUGAUUGCUCCUGGAGGCAGAAAAGUGACCCUGGGGAAGAUGGAAUUGGUACCUGAUGGUGUCUCAGGGUAUAUCCCCAGCAUCACUUUUCUUUUGUGGAGCAGGUUGGAGGAAUGGGUGUGGGUGGAGAGCAGCUCUUCACAAACCACCAGUGAGCAAAGCCAGUUUAUGUCUGAAGCCCAGCUGGUGCUCUGCCUGGGCUCCCAUCACUGCUCAUCCCAUACAACCUCUGUCAGGAGGAGGAUGAUUAAUCCCAGAUCCUGGAAGCAGUGAUUUCCUACAAGGCCAUGCUGUAAUGGGCAGGGAUAAAUACUGCUAAGUGGUCCAGUCAGUGCACUACAGAGUGCUGUGCUUGGCUCCCAGUGCUAGUGACAGCACAAAAUGAAUUUCAACUAAUUCAUUGUUUUGAUAAACAACUAUCAUCUCCCAUCUCUGGCUGCAACUAUGGUUUUAUGAGCACCCAUUUGGUGCCUAUAAUAAUGUAGGGGUUAUUAUUAGCCUUCUGCUUGGAAUCUGGACACACAAUCCUGGGAACUGUUCAGAGUAAACUUUAAAAUUAUGUGUGUGUGUGUGACAGGGGGGAAGCAUGAUCUAAAUUUAAAUGGUAAAUAUCUGCUUUCAUUCUCAAUGCUUAAGGGCAUUCAGCUAAUAAACAUUGCAUGGCUUCAAACAAAAUAAAAGCCACAGUAGUAGAUAAUGGGUGCUGUAAAACCUCUGACUUAUCUCAAGUCUGGAACUUGGAGGAUUAACAUAACUUAGUUUAUGAUGUUCAUCACAGCUGCCAGGAGACCUGGCCCUGCCUCCCCAGAGUGCAAGAGCUAAAGGGAGUGCUCUUCUGGUCUCAGCUGAGCAAUCAGCUGUACUUAGUUAAAAGCCUGCAUUUAGAGGGAGCUUUUCUCCAUGCUAAAUAAUGAGUUGCACUCCAAAAGUCUGAGGUGUUAUCUGGGUGAGAUUCUCUCGUCCAUAGAAAUUACACAGAUAAGAUAUAUAACAAGUCAUAUAUUCAGGGCUCUUUCAGUCAUUAUCUCAUGCAGUGGUUUAUCCACUUUGAAGUGACCUUAGUGAUGGGAUUUUCUUCAUUCCUUUUACAUGAGGCUGAAAACACCAAGUUCCUGUUUGUUCCAGGGGGAUUUUAAAGAUCCCACAGCAGUUUGGCAAAGGAAUCUUCCCCUUCAAGGACCCUCCCCUCCAUCCUGAACCUUGGUGGAUACACACCACCACAGUGGGCAGCAGUGUCAGGGCUCAGAGAUCAUGCAGCUCCAAGGAAGUUUGCAAUUAUGAUGAUAUUAGCUGUGGCAUUCACAUUCUCUGAAAAAAUUCCUUCACCCAGGAUUUUCUCCUGGGAAGAUGAGGAGCCUCAGAGAAAAAGGAAAACAAAUUCUUAUCUCAUUUGCUUCUCCUGUGUUGUGCUCACAUGUGGAAUG
This is a long non-coding RNA of Passer domesticus (house sparrow), 7270 nucleotides long. RefSeq lists it as uncharacterized. NCBI's taxonomy places the organism in Eukaryota, Metazoa, Chordata, Aves, Passeriformes, Passeridae. The record is from RefSeq and is a predicted model, not a curated record. The transcript has 8 exons.